Molecule: ribosomal RNA, 464 nt
Filed under: Vreelandella stevensii
Lineage: Bacteria; Pseudomonadati; Pseudomonadota; Gammaproteobacteria; Oceanospirillales; Halomonadaceae
Description: partial 16S ribosomal RNA
Rfam family: Bacterial small subunit ribosomal RNA
Source: RNAcentral
CCUACGGUGGCAGCAGUGGGGAAUAUUGGACAAUGGGCGAAAGCCUGAUCCAGCCAUGCCGCGUGUGUGAAGAAGGCCUUCGGGUUGUAAAGCACUUUCAGUGGGGAAGAAAGCCUUGGGGCUAAUACCCUCGAGGAAGGACAUCACCCACAGAAGAAGCACCGGCUAACUCCGUGCCAGCAGCCGCGGUAAUACGGAGGGUGCGAGCGUUAAUCGGAAUUACUGGGCGUAAAGCGCGCGUAGGCGGUCUGAUAAGCCGGUUGUGAAAGCCCCGGGCUCAACCUGGGAACGGCAUCCGGAACUGUCAGGCUAGAGUGCAGGAGAGGAAGGUAGAAUUCCCGGUGUAGCGGUGAAAUGCGUAGAGAUCGGGAGGAAUACCAGUGGCGAAGGCGGUCUUCUGGACUGACACUGACGCUGAGGUGCGAAAGCGUGGGUAGCAAACAGGAUUAGAUACCCCGGUAGUC